AGCCUGAUGCAGCGACGCCGCGUGAGGGAUGACGGCCUUCGGGUUGUAAACCUCUUUCAGCACAGACGAAGCGCAAGUGACGGUAUGUGCAGAAGAAGGACCGGCCAACUACGUGCCAGCAGCCGCGGUAAUACGUAGGGUCCGAGCGUUGUCCGGAAUUACUGGGCGUAAAGAGCUCGUAGGUGGUUUGUCGCGUUGUUCGUGAAAACUCACAGCUUAACUGUGGGCGUGCGGGCGAUACGGGCAGACUUGAGUACUGCAGGGGAGACUGGAAUUCCUGGUGUAGCGGUGGAAUGCGCAGAUAUCAGGAGGAACACCGGUGGCGAAGGCGGGUCUCUGGGCAGUAACUGACGCUGAGGAGCGAAAGCGUGGGGAGCGAACAGGAUUAGAUACCCUGGUAGUCCACGCCGUAAACGGUGGGUACUAGGUGUGGGUUUCCUUCCUUGGGAUCCGUGCCGUAGCUAACGCAUUAAGUACCCCGCCUGGGGAGUACGGCCGCAAGGCUAAAACUCAAAGAAAUUGACGGGGGCCCGCACAAGCGGCGGAGCAUGUGGAUUAAUUCGAUGCAACGCGAAGAACCUUACCUGGGUUUGACAUGCACAGGACGCUGGUAGAGAUAUCAGUUCCCUUGUGGCC
RNAcentral lists this ribosomal RNA (636 nucleotides) under Mycobacterium sp. So2Ps_1651. RNAcentral's name for it is "bacterial SSU rRNA". It matches the Rfam family "Bacterial small subunit ribosomal RNA", at positions 380 to 1028 of the family's 1533-position model. The record is from RNAcentral. Lineage: Bacteria; Bacillati; Actinomycetota; Actinomycetes; Mycobacteriales; Mycobacteriaceae.